UGCACCGAAGCUGCGGCAGCGACACUCAGGUGUUGUUGGGUAGGGGAGCGUUCUGUAAGCCUGCGAAGGUGGCCUGUGAGGGUUGCUGGAGGUAUCAGAAGUGCGAAUGCUGACAUAAGUAACGAUAAAGCGGGUGAAAAGCCCGCUCGCCGGAAGACCAAGGGUUCCUGUCCAACGUUAAUCGGGGCAGGGUGAGUCGACCCCUAAGGCGAGGCCGAAAGGCGUAGUCGAUGGGAAACGGGUUAAUAUUCCCGUACUUGGUGUUACUGCGAAGGGGGGACGGAGAAGGCUAUGUUGGCCGGGCGACGGUUGUCCCGGUUUAAGCGUGUAGGUGUGUGUUCCAGGUAAAUCCGGUUCACUUUAACACUGAGGCGUGAUGACGAGGCACUACGGUGCUGAAGCAACAAAUGCCCUGCUUCCAGGAAAAGCCUCUAAGCAUCAGGUAACAUCAAAUCGUACCCCAAACCGACACAGGUGGUCAGGUAGAGAAUACCAAGGCGCUUGAGAGAACUCGGGUGAAGGAACUAGGCAAAAUGGUGCCGUAACUUCGGGAGAAGGCACGCUGACACGUAGGUGAAGUGAUUUACUCAUGGAGCUGAAGUCAGUCGAAGAUACCAGCUGGCUGCAACUGUUUAUUAAAAACACAGCACUGUGCAAACACGAAAGUGGACGUAUACGGUGUGACGCCUGCCCGGUGCCGGAAGGUUAAUUGAUGGGGUCAGCGCAAGCGAAGCUCCUGAUCGAAGCCCCGGUAAACGGCGGCCGUAACUAUAACGGUCCUAAGGUAGCGAAAUUCCUUGUCGGGUAAGUUCCGACCUGCACGAAUGGCGUAAUGAUGGCCAGGCUGUCUCCACCCGAGACUCAGUGAAAUUGAACUCGCUGUGAAGAUGCAGUGUACCCGCGGCAAGACGGAAAGACCCCGUGAACCUUUACUAUAGCUUGACACUGAACAUUGAGCCUUGAUGUGUAGGAUAGGUGGGAGGCUUUGAAGUGUGGACGCCAGUCUGCAUGGAGCCGACCUUGAAAUACCACCCUUUAAUGUUUGAUGUUCUAACGUGGACCCGUGAUCCGGGUUGCGGACAGUGUCUGGUGGGUAGUUUGACUGGGGCGGUCUCCUCCUAAAGAGUAACGGAGGAGCACGAAGGUUGGCUAAUCCUGGUCGGACAUCAGGAGGUUAGUGCAAUGGCAUAAGCCAGCUUGACUGCGAGCGUGACGGCGCGAGCAGGUGCGAAAGCAGGUCAUAGUGAUCCGGUGGUUCUGAAUGGAAGGGCCAUCGCUCAACGGAUAAAAGGUACUCCGGGGAUAACAGGCUGAUACCGCCCAAGAGUUCAUAUCGACGGCGGUGUUUGGCACCUCGAUGUCGGCUCAUCACAUCCUGGGGCUGAAGUAGGUCCCAAGGGUAUGGCUGUUCGCCAUUUAAAGUGGUACGCGAGCUGGGUUUAGAACGUCGUGAGACAGUUCGGUCCCUAUCUGCCGUGGGCGCUGGAGAACUGAGGGGGGCUGCUCCUAGUACGAGAGGACCGGAGUGGACGCAUCACUGGUGUUCGGGUUGUCAUGCCAAUGGCACUGCCCGGUAGCUAAAUGCGGAAGAGAUAAGUGCUGAAAGCAUCUAAGCACGAAACUUGCCCCGAGAUGAGUUCUCCCUGAGACUUUAAGUCUCCUGAAGGAACGUUGAAGACGACGACGUUGAUAGGCCGGGUGUGUAAGCGCAGCGAUGCGUUGAGCUAACCGGUACUAAUGAACCGUGAGGCUUAACCUU
Molecule: ribosomal RNA, 1759 nt
Filed under: Salmonella enterica
Lineage: Bacteria; Pseudomonadati; Pseudomonadota; Gammaproteobacteria; Enterobacterales; Enterobacteriaceae
Description: partial 23S ribosomal RNA
Rfam family: Bacterial large subunit ribosomal RNA
Source: RNAcentral